Molecule: long non-coding RNA, 1194 nt
Filed under: Oryza sativa (Asian cultivated rice)
Lineage: Eukaryota; Viridiplantae; Streptophyta; Magnoliopsida; Poales; Poaceae
Description: long non-coding RNA (OSAT_LNC000257)
Source: RNAcentral
AAAAUAAGGCCGGGCCCAGUUAAGGUCCAAUCUGCCAGGCACCCUCCCUCCCCGCGGCCGGCGCCGCCGCCGCCGCCGCCGCGCCAUGCCCGCCGGUGCUCCCCGACUCCGGUCGCCGAAUCGAGCCCGCUCUCCCGCCCGGCCUGAUCCCUCGCGCUCACCGUAGAAUCAUUUCCGCGCCAAUGCGCGAUCUUCUGUUCCUGCCUGCCGCUCUAGGAUAACCGUCUCCACUUCCAUUUGGGAAACCCUAGAAGUUUAUGCGGAUACGGCCGACGGCCUCGGAUGAUCCAGUGAUCUGCUGUCCAGAGGUAAAUCGAGCAAAUCCAUAGCCAAGCUCCUAUUUCUCCACCAAAGUUUCAGGGAAAAUCUUGCAAUUUUUCGCGACAAAUUUAUUGUUAGGUUAGCUUUAGUUUGCUCCACAUUUUGCCCUUGGAUUUCAAAGCUUAAACACAGUUGAACCGAACUGACCAAGAUAUAGAUCAUCUCGGCUUUAUUAACUGCUGCUGCAGUAGUUAUGUGCUCACUUUGUAAUCCAACCAUCCAAUUGUUCAAUUGCUGCUAAUUAAAGUGCCAAUUUUUGCAGAAAUAAAAGACUGAAGGAUUUCGGCCUAGCUGUUCUGCAUGCAGAAAACCAUAUCUGUAGUUUUUUCAUGAGAGAUCCCCAGUUAUUGCUAGUGUAGUAGUGUUGAUUAUAUUCCAUCUGUAAUAUAAUUUACCAGACCAAAAAACAUUAACUACCGAAGUACUAGCAUUAUUUCUGAGGGAGCAAAUAACAAGCCUCCUUCAGGAGGCUUUUGGAAGAAAUUGAUAAAAAAAAACAAACCAAGGUAAAUACUGAAAAUAAAAUUACAAUGUGUUCCGACAAGAUUGAUUUAUUGACACAACUUUGGCGCUUCCGUUCAAAAGUCUUACAUAAGUGCAUUAUGUAAAUUUUAUAUCUGCAAAAAGGUGGCUUCUCUUAACACACAAACACCUUCCAAUUUAAUCUCUCUGCUUAUGUACUUGAAUGACAGGUAUGCUGCAUUCAGUUAUUGCUGUUGAUUGAUCUGGCUUAAGCUUGGGCUAUAAGAAAUCAUCAGACCAUGGCCGGAGAUAGUGACAGCUAUCAUUGUGUCACAGGUCUUGGUUGGUUUGCGACCUAACUGAAGUAGAGCUAGAAAAACCUUGAUAGGACAAUCUGAUCAUAUAACACCC